UACGAAGGGGGCUAGCGUUGUUCGGAUUUACUGGGCGUAAAGCGCACGUAGGCGGACUUUUAAGUCAGGGGUGAAAUCCCGGGGCUCAACCCCGGAACUGCCUUUGAUACUGGAAGUCUUGAGUAUGGUAGAGGUGAGUGGAAUUCCGAGUGUAGAGGUGAAAUUCGUAGAUAUUCGGAGGAACACCAGUGGCGAAGGCGGCUCACUGGACCAUUACUGACGCUGAGGUG
This 230-nucleotide ribosomal RNA is filed under the name uncultured microorganism. RNAcentral describes it as "partial 16S ribosomal RNA". It matches the Rfam family "Bacterial small subunit ribosomal RNA", at positions 524 to 753 of the family's 1533-position model. The record is from RNAcentral.